This 1434-nucleotide ribosomal RNA is filed under the name human gut metagenome. RNAcentral's name for it is "bacterial LSU rRNA". It matches the Rfam family "Bacterial large subunit ribosomal RNA", at positions 466 to 1992 of the family's 2925-position model. The record is from RNAcentral.
CUAAAUACUACCCAGUGACCGAUAGCGUAUAGUACUGUGAAGGAAAGGUGAAAAGCACCCCGGGAGGGGAGUGAAAAAGAACCUGAAACCCUGUGCCUACAAGCACCUAGAGCACGUCAAAGUGUGAUAGGGUACUUUUUGUAGAACGGUCCGGCGAGCGAUUGUAUGCAGCAAGGUUAAGGACUUAAGGUCUGGAGCCGAAGCGAAAGCGAGUUUGAAAAGGGCGUUAAGUUGCAUAUAAUGGGCCCGAAACCGGGUGACCUACCCAUGGUCAGGUUGAAGUGGAAGUAAAAUUCCAUGGAGGACCGAACCGACCUCCGUUGAAAAGGCGGCGGAUGAACUGUGGGUAGCGGAGAAAUUCCAAUCGAACCCGGAGAUAGCUGGUUCUCCCCGAAAUAGUUUUAGGACUAGCCUCAAGUUAGAUACCUGGAGGUAAAGCACUGAAUAGCCUAGCGGCCGAGAGGUUAGCGAAGCUUAUCAAACUCAGAAUGCCAGAGUAUUGAUGCUUGGGAGUCAGACAGUGUCAGAUAAAUGUCAUUGUCAAAAGGGAAACAGCCCAGAUCUACAGCUAAGGUCCCAAAGUCAGGUUAAGUGGAAAACGAUGUGAAGAUACGCAGACAACCAGGAUGUUGGCUCAGAAGCAGCCACUCAUUCAAAGAGUGCGUAAUAGCUCACUGGUCGAGCGUCUUUGCGCGGAGAAUUUAACGGGGCUAAACCUGACACCGAAGCUUAGGCAAUACAGCAAUGUAUUGGGUAGGGGAGCGUUGUAUACGCGGUGAAACAGUAGCGCAAGCGGCUGUGGAGUGUAUAGAAGUGAGAAUGCCGGAAUGAGUAGCGCGAAUGCAGUGAGAAUCUGCAUGGCCGAAAGCCUCAGGUUUCUGGAGGAAGGUUCGUCCGCUCCAGGUUAGUCGGGAGCUAAGGUGAGGCCUAACGGCGUAGCCGAUGCACAGACGGUAGAGAUUCCGUCACCACCAAAAGAGUUAAACACAGGGACACAUAUGAAGUCUCGGAGCCGGGUGUUGGUUCCGGUAGCGAUCGAGGGAAAUUAGUACCGAAGUCCGGGAUGGAAGAUGGCGAGAAAAGCUGUGUGUAUUUCUGCGGUGCCCGUACCGCAAACCGACACAGGUAGGUAGGAAGAAGAUUCUAAGGCCAACGGGAGAAGGGUUGUUAAGGAACUCGGCAAGUUGACCCCGUAACUUCGGAAUAAGGGGUGCUCACGAGAGUGAGCCGCAGAGAAUAGGCCCAGGCAACUGUUUACCAAAAACACAGGUUUGUGCUAAAUCGAAAGAUGACGUAUACGAGCUGACGCCUGCCCGGUGCUGGAAGGUUAAGAGGAGAUGUGCAAGCAUUGAAUCGAAGCCCCAGUGAACGGCGGCCGUAACUAUAACGGUCCUAAGGUAGCGAAAUUCCUUGUCAGGUAAGUUCUGACCCGCA